AAUACGUCCCUGCUCCUUGCACACACCGCCCGUCAAGCCAUGGAAGCCGGGUGUACCUAAAGUCGGUAACCGUAAGGAGCCGCCUAGGGUAAAACUGGUGACUGGGGCU
Molecule: ribosomal RNA, 109 nt
Filed under: uncultured bacterium
Lineage: Bacteria
Description: partial 16S ribosomal RNA
Rfam family: Bacterial small subunit ribosomal RNA
Source: RNAcentral